UACGAACUGUGCGAACGUUAUUCGGAAUCACUGGGCUUAAAGGGUGCGUAGGUGGUUUUCUAAGUCAUGUGUGAAAUCUUCUGGCUCGACCAGAAAACUGCGCGUGAUACUGGAGAACUUGAGUGAGGUAGGGGUGUGUGGAACUUCCGGUGGAGCGGUGAAAUGUGUAGAGAUCGGAAGGAACGCCAGCAGCGAAAGCGGCACACUGGGCCUUUUCUGACACUGAGGCACGAAAGCUAGGGGAGUGAACGGG
Molecule: ribosomal RNA, 253 nt
Filed under: uncultured bacterium
Lineage: Bacteria
Description: partial 16S ribosomal RNA
Rfam family: Bacterial small subunit ribosomal RNA
Source: RNAcentral